This 262-nucleotide ribosomal RNA is filed under the name uncultured prokaryote. RNAcentral describes it as "partial 16S ribosomal RNA". It matches the Rfam family "Bacterial small subunit ribosomal RNA", at positions 917 to 1178 of the family's 1533-position model. The record is from RNAcentral.
GGACCCGCACAAGCAGCGGAGCAUGUGGUUUAAUUCGAAGCAACGCGAAGAACCUUACCAGGGCUUGACAUCCUCUUGCAAGUCCGGAUAACGCCGGACCCUCUUCGGACAAGAGAGACAGGUGGUGCAUGGUUGUCGUCAGCUCGUGUCGUGAGAUGUUGGGUUAAGUCCCGCAACGAGCGCAACCCUUGUCAUUAGUUGCCAUCAGGUGAUGCUGGGCACUCUAGUGAGACCGCCGGGGACAACUCGGAGGAAGGUGGGG